CUCUCUAAUGUUCUCCUCUCUGUUCUCCUCUCUGUAAGGUUCUCCUCUCUCUAAUGUUCUCCUCUCUCUAAUGUUCUCCUCUCUGUUCUCCUCUCUGUAAGGUUCUCCUCUCUCUAAUGUUCUCCUCUCUGUUCUCCUCUCUGUAAGGUUCUCCUCUCUCUAAUGUUCUCCUCUCUGUUCUCCUCUCUGUAAGGCUCUCCUCUCUGUAAUGUUCUCCUCUCUAUAAUGCUUUCCUCUCGUUAAUGGCCAUACAGCUUGAUCUCCUGUUCAGAAGGUCAACUUGUGAGUAAUGAUCUGUUGCUUCGCUGCUCGUCCAUUUUCCCUUGAUGGCGCUGACCAUAACUCAUCUGUCUCUCUCUCUCUCUCAUGCAACUGCAGCGAUUAUUGGAGGAUUUAUUUUAGUCUGGCCAGCACCGGACACAUGCAGCAGUGUUAUACCUCUCUUUUGGAUGAGGGUGACAUAUGGCUGGUGGACAUGGGAUCCAGAGUGACAGCUUCCUGUUUACAAGCUGCCCAGAGACUUCUGUAGUAGCAGGGGGUGUGUUAGAGAGACACUGCUUGGGCUGUUUUGAAGAGAACAGGGGACCUUGGGUACGACACAAUCUUGUUCCUUUUGGAUCUGGAGCAGAUCGAUAUGUCAGCCAUAACUCCGUUCUACCGCACCCGUGCGUAGAUGGACAAUGGAGGAUCCAUUGUUUUAUAACCCACUUAUCUGGACCAGAGUCCUGGCCUCUACCACCUUUGUGGGCCAGGCUUGUAAGAGUUGAGUUCACUAAGUUGGGUGACCUGCAAGAAGAGGCUUGGUGGAAAUCUGCCAGCAACAUGGUGGAGGUUUUCUCCAUAA
RNAcentral lists this long non-coding RNA (844 nucleotides) under Salmo salar (Atlantic salmon). RNAcentral's name for it is "lncRNA (ENSSSAG00000088673.1)". The record is from RNAcentral. Lineage: Eukaryota; Metazoa; Chordata; Actinopteri; Salmoniformes; Salmonidae.